Molecule: unclassified non-coding RNA, 401 nt
Filed under: Stomatanthes trigonus
Lineage: Eukaryota; Viridiplantae; Streptophyta; Magnoliopsida; Asterales; Asteraceae
Description: partial contains external transcribed spacer and 18S ribosomal RNA
Source: RNAcentral
UUGGUGUGUUACCGGUGGUCGGCUCCCUUGGAACUUCCACCGACAUUCCUGAUUAUCGGUUACGGCUUUGAUUGCCUGAACAAAUUGUCGGUUUGCUGUGUUGCCUGCCUAACAAACGGUAUUGAUUUGGCUUAUCUAAGUUUCGUUCGUCUUUCGUCAUGUGUUUGACGUUAGAUGUGCCCUGAACAUGCUUCUUUGAACCACAAUGUUAAAGCUUUUGUUGAUGUAGUGGCGCAUUGAGCCUUGCUUGGUCUCUUUGAUGUAGUGCUUUAUGUGGGCAUGGGUCUGUUUGGAUCCUUGUUAUGUCCCUGAUUAGUGUUUACGUUUCGUAAAAUGACUGCUUGACACGUGUUGGCWCGUAAAAUCGUGUUGGGCUUCGUCKAAAAGGAAUGUUACCUGGU